UACGAAGGGGGCUAGCGUUGUUCGGAAUUACUGGGCGUAAAGGGCGCGUAGGCUGUGCUGUAAGUCAGGCGUGAAAUCCCCGGGCUCAACCUGGGACUUGCGCAUGAUACUGCGGCGCUUGAAGACGGGAGAGGAUGGCGGAAUUCCCAGUGUAGAGGUGAAAUGCGUAGAUAUUGGGAGGAACACCGGUGGCGAAGGCGGCCCCCUGGACCGGUUCUGACGCUGAGGCGCGAAAGCGUGGGUAGCAAACGGG
This 253-nucleotide ribosomal RNA is filed under the name uncultured bacterium. RNAcentral describes it as "partial 16S ribosomal RNA". It matches the Rfam family "Bacterial small subunit ribosomal RNA", at positions 524 to 776 of the family's 1533-position model. The record is from RNAcentral.